RNAcentral lists this transfer RNA (70 nucleotides) under Dipodomys ordii (Ord's kangaroo rat). It matches the Rfam family "tRNA". From Rfam's summary of the family: Transfer RNA (tRNA) molecules are approximately 80 nucleotides in length. The record is from Rfam by way of RNAcentral. Lineage: Eukaryota; Metazoa; Chordata; Mammalia; Rodentia; Heteromyidae.
GGGAAUAUGGCUUAGUGGUAAAGUACUUGCCUAGCAUACAUGAAGCCCUGGGUUCAACUCCGUAAUACCA